Molecule: ribosomal RNA, 378 nt
Filed under: uncultured eukaryote
Lineage: Eukaryota
Description: partial 18S ribosomal RNA
Rfam family: Eukaryotic small subunit ribosomal RNA
Source: RNAcentral
CAAUAGCGUAUAUUUAAGUUGUUGCAGUUAAAAAGCUCGUAGUUGGAUUUCGGGUUGGCUUCAGCGGUCUCGCUUUGCGUUUGUACUGCUGCAGCCUACCUUCUUGUCGGGGACGGGCCUUCGGGCUUAAUUACUUGGGGCCCGGAGUCGACGAUGUUACUUUGAGUAAAUUAGAGUGUUCAAAGCAAGCCUACGCUCUGAAUAUAAUAGCAUGGGAUAACACGACAGGACUCUGGCCUAUCGUGUUGGUCUGUAGGACCAGAGUAAUGAUUAAGAGGGACAGUCGGGGGCAUUCGUAUUCCGUUGUCAGAGGUGAAAUUCUUGGAUUUACGGAAGACGAACAUCUGCGAAAGCAUUUGCCAAGGAUGUUUUCAUUGA